ACGAACGCUGGCGGCGUGCCUAAUACAUGCAAGUAGAACGCUGAAGAGAGGAGCUUGCUCUUCUUGGAUGAGUUGCGAACGGGUGAGUAACGCGUAGGUAACCUGCCUUGUAGCGGGGGAUAACUAUUGGAAACGAUAGCUAAUACCGCAUAACAAUGGAUGACCCAUGUCAUUUAUUUGAAAGGGGCAAAUGCUCCACUACAAGAUGGACCUGCGUUGUAUUAGCUAGUAGGUGAGGUAACGGCUCACCUAGGCGACGAUACAUAGCCGACCUGAGAGGGUGAUCGGCCACACUGGGACUGAGACACGGCCCAGACUCCUACGGGAGGCAGCAGUAGGGAAUCUUCGGCAAUGGGGGCAACCCUGACCGAGCAACGCCGCGGGAGUGAAGAAGGUUUUCGGAUCGUAAAGCUCUGUUGUAAGUCAAGAACGAGUGUGAGAGUGGAAAGUUCACACUGUGACGGUAGCUUACCAGAAAGGGACGGCUAACUACGUG
RNAcentral lists this ribosomal RNA (496 nucleotides) under uncultured bacterium. RNAcentral's name for it is "partial 16S ribosomal RNA". It matches the Rfam family "Bacterial small subunit ribosomal RNA", at positions 29 to 507 of the family's 1533-position model. The record is from RNAcentral.